CCUACGGGUGGCUGCAGUAGGGAAUAUUGCUUAAUCUGCGAAAGCGGGAAGCAGCAACGCCGCGUGUGCGAUGAAGGCCUUCGGGUUGUAAAGCACUUUUUGGAGGGAAGAGAAAGGACGGUACCUCCAGAAUAAGCCUCGGCUAACUACGUGCCAGCAGCCGCGGUAACACGUAGGAGGCGAGCGUUAUUCGGAUUUACUGGGCGUAAAGCGCGUGCAGGUGGUUUGGUGAGUUGGAUGUGAAAGCUCCUGGCUUAACUGGGAGAGGUCGUUCAAUACUGCCAGACUUGAGAGUGGUAGAGGGAGGUGGAAUUCCGGGUGUAGUGGUGAAAUGCGUAGAUAUCCGGAGGAACACCAGUGGCGAAAGCGGCCUCCUGGCCCAUUUCUGACGCUCAGACGCGAAAGCUAAGGUAGCAAACGGGAUUAGAUACCCUUGUAGUC
Molecule: ribosomal RNA, 441 nt
Filed under: uncultured bacterium
Lineage: Bacteria
Description: partial 16S ribosomal RNA
Rfam family: Bacterial small subunit ribosomal RNA
Source: RNAcentral